RNAcentral lists this ribosomal RNA (785 nucleotides) under Globodera artemisiae. RNAcentral's name for it is "partial large subunit ribosomal RNA". It matches the Rfam family "Eukaryotic large subunit ribosomal RNA", at positions 344 to 964 of the family's 3401-position model. The record is from RNAcentral. Lineage: Eukaryota; Metazoa; Nematoda; Chromadorea; Rhabditida; Heteroderidae.
ACAAGUACCGUGAGGGAAAGUUGCAAAGCACUUUGAAGAGAGAGUUAAAGAGGACGUGAAACCGAUGAGGUGGAAACGGACAGAGCUGGCGUAUCUGGUCUGCAUUCAUCCGUGUGCUUUUGGGCGUUUGGAUUGCCACUCUCCAGACUGGGAUGGUGUUCAUUCUGUUCAGGGGCUCAUGGAGCAUUUGCAGGCGGAGUGCGCUGAGAUGCUCGGGGCAGCUGCAUGAGCUUGGCUUUGAGGCCAGCCCUUCGGGGUCUGGUACCCGGGCUGGGGGAGUGUUGUUUGUUCUGGGUGCUGAGUGGUGUGCAAUGGCAACGGGUCCGUGUUGGUUUGAGCUGGCGGUCGGUGGCGGUCGCGUGCGACACGUGCCAGCAGUCAGUUCGGUCCUGCUCGGGCUCUCAUUGCAUGUUCUCGGUGUAAAAGCCGGUCAUCUGUCCGACCCGUCUUGAAACACGGACCAAGGAGUUUAGCGUGUGCGCGAGUCAUUGGGAGUUGAAAACCCAAGGGCGUAAUGAAAGUGAAGGUCUCCUUGCGGAGCUGAUGUGUGAUCCCGUGCACCACGGUGUGCGGGCGCAACAUAGUCCCGUUCCUAUCACAUGCGAUGGGGCGGAGACAGAGCGUACGCGCUGAGACCCGAAAGAUGGUGAACUAUUCCUGAGCAGGAUGAAGCCAGAGGAAACUCUGGUGGAAGUCCGAAGCGAUUCUGACGUGCAAAUCGAUCGUCUGACUUGGGUAUAGGGGCGAAAGACUAAUCGAACCAUCUAGUAGCUGGUUCCUUCCGA